Non-coding RNA from Cordylochernes scorpioides, 71 nucleotides. The record is from the annotation of a GenBank genome assembly. Lineage: Eukaryota; Metazoa; Arthropoda; Arachnida; Pseudoscorpiones; Chernetidae.
UGCAUCGGCCGGGAAUCAAACCCGGGGCGCGCGCGUGGCAGGCGAGCAUUCUACCACUGAACCACCGAUGC